UAUCUGCUUAGCUAGUGCUGCAGCUAUGUGCAGUACUGCACAGUGACUUUAGUGAGCAAAAAGCACACUGCAGUUUACAACUCUGGACCAUUCUGAUCAUGUAGUCUGACCACUUGCUGUACAUUGUAAACUGUUUCUAAUUCACAGGUGAGUUAAGCAGUCAGAUACUAUGGUAAUGGAGGUCUACAACAGGGUAUUUUCUCUGUCCAGGGCUCAGCAGUCCUUCCAGCUCUCUCCAGGAUCCUCCAUAGCCUAUUCAGAAAAAGGACCUUCAGGAGUCUCUGGAGGAUGUUAAACAGGAGCUACUACAUUAGAUAUUUUUAAAUCAGCA
Mauremys reevesii (Reeves's turtle) is the source of this 331-nucleotide long non-coding RNA. RefSeq lists it as uncharacterized. The transcript is spliced from 3 exons. The record is from RefSeq and is a predicted model, not a curated record. Lineage: Eukaryota; Metazoa; Chordata; Testudines; Geoemydidae.